Molecule: long non-coding RNA, 1572 nt
Organism: Salvia splendens (bonfire salvia)
Lineage: Eukaryota; Viridiplantae; Streptophyta; Magnoliopsida; Lamiales; Lamiaceae
Exons: 2
Source: RefSeq, a predicted model, not a curated record
UUAUUUUCUUUUCCUCUUCUUCUCACUUUCAAAUCCAAUCUACUUUUCCCCAAAUCACAUUCUUCACAAUUCCUCAAAAUCCUUCUUUCUCCACCAUCAGUUUUCCCUCUCUAAUACUUCCUCAUUCAACAAAAUUUUGGAAGAAAACCCCAAGUGAAGGGGGAGGUCAGUGGCGCCGCUCCUCGCGCUACUCCGGCGAAAUCGACAAUGCUCUGCGUCGCCGGAGCACUACUCCGGCUACUCCCUCCUCCACCGCUUCUCCUUCGUUUUACUUUUCCAAUUUUCCCCAAAUUAGAAAUGUACAGCAGCUUCUUCUCCUACCUUUCCUCGGCGAAAUCGCCACUCCCGACGGUCUCACGCCGGUCGCCGGCUCUGCCGGCGUCUUCCUCCCCGGCGAUUCGGGUCUCCUUUCCCUCACUUCCUUAUCGCUACGAUCGAGAAUAGAGAAGCAGCAGCGUCCGCGCUCCACUCCGUCGCCGCACGCCUGCAGCUGCUCUGCGGAACCCGUUCGGGGCUCCGCUGAUACUCGCCGAUUUCGGCUCUGUUCGGUGUGAUUCGGGACGUCCGCGAUUAAGCUAAGUCUUUUAUAAACUUCUCUUAUCCCCUUCAUUUAAUUUUCCCGUAGUAGUGUAACUACCCUAUGUCUGGGGACUUUGGUGUUUGAGAAGUAUAUGUGAAAUCUUUUCUUCGCUUAUUGGUGAUGUUCAAGUUUUGAUCUUGCGAGGAUUUGCCUACUGUGUCAACUUAUCGGGGUUUCGGCAAACUCUAUAUUUUGUUUCUUGGCAGAAUGAUUGUUGAGACUAUGCCUAGGUGAUACUUGCUCAUGUUGUUGUGGAGGAAUCGUAUUGCUAUCUUAAGUUCUUGCGCUAUCUAUUUGCUAUAUAUGAUGCAUAGAUGGUGUGGGGUGAGGUUUACCUUGUUCGGAAAAUCCUCCUCCUUAGUCGUGGCUGUUGGUUUGCUGUCAAUACUUGCUUGUUCCCUCCUCUUGCUGCUCCUUCGCAAGUUUUGGGGGUGUCUACGGGUGGCCAGAAAGAGUGGGGAGGGCUGAUUUUAUAGCCAAUUUCCUUGUCUUUUGUGGCAGGUUUUGGGGAGUAUAACUUGCUACUUUGAGCUAAAGGUCUCUCCUUCUUUUAAGUUUGUUAAGGAGGCUUCCUUGCCUUUUUUUUGUGCAAAGUCUUGGAAAGCUAUCAUCGCUGAUCUCAUUUGUGAUUUGGGUGAAUAUGAUUCCUCUCAUUUGGAUUUGAAGAUAAGCUCAUCUUCCUUGCUUCACUUGUCACUAUUUCCACUUUGGUGAAAUGGGGAAUAACCGAGGUUGUCCUUAACAGCUCAUUCAUCUUCCUAUUUUGUGCAUCAAGAUGGAAAGGGACUUUACUAAGGUUUCAACUUGGUCUUUUGUGGAGUGGGGAGCAAGGAUCCAGCUGGAGAAGAUUUCCAUGAUGAAUUAGAAUCUAGUGUUGUCAUUUUACUCUUUCUAGCUAUUAAUGUAAAGUAGCUUUUGCAAAGUAGAUAUAUCUUCUUCCCCAAAAUUCUUAUGUAACAUCUUUCCAUGAAAGAUGGACUUCUUCCUUGUAA